AAUACUACAACAGGUUAUAUUUGUACAACACAAUGACUAACAUAACAACACAAUAUAAAAAUUAUUACAGCCUGCAUGAUACAGGGUGGUCAUGUACCGUUGCCACACAAGUUAUAGCAGGAUGACCACAUUAUCCCACUGACUAUCCCAUACAUGACAAAAACAGCCCAUUUCCAUCUUUUUCUUUUUGCUGCAACUGCGGCUUCUUCCCGCAACUUAUUAUUGCUUUCUAGUAAACCAUUAACCACUGAGAUACUCCGGCUCGUAAAUUGUGGGUCGUACCACCCAAAAUAAUUACAUGCGUUCCUCCCCUGCAUCUGAAAGAUAAUAUAAAUUACACAUCAAAUAAUGUCAAUAUAUGAAUCAACAAGUUUAUAGUAGCCAGCUUUACCCUAUAUCUUGAACAGCCAUAAAAUCUCCGACCCGGAUUAUUUUGUGUCCAAGAGGUCUUAAUCGUACAGGGCAAUCCACAGUGGCAGAGCGGUGUGGAUUGGUUGCUUCGACUGCUCGAAGUUGUAAAGCUUGAAUCCAUCUAACUUAUAAUAUUAUAACAAUAAGAAAUACGUACAAACCGACGCAAUAUUACGACAGAUAGUAAGCACAAAUAUUGAUUAUAAAUAUGGCACACACCAUCAAAUAAUU
RNAcentral lists this long non-coding RNA (642 nucleotides) under Ananas comosus (pineapple). Its description in RNAcentral is "long non-coding RNA (ACOM_LNC036313)". Lineage: Eukaryota; Viridiplantae; Streptophyta; Magnoliopsida; Poales; Bromeliaceae. The record is from RNAcentral.